AUGGUUUUUUCUUUCAAUUUCUUUUGGCUUGGUCGCUGGUACAGUUUGCAGUUUGCACUGCUGUUGGAGUUGUGUUGCCUUCAUCAUCCCUUCAAUAAGGGUUAUAUCAUGGCUAUUUCAGGUGAAAAUGUUAAAGAUUGUGUAUUAGUAUUUGUUUUUGUUAAAUUGAAAAGGAAAAUGGAGUGUGAAAAUUCCAUUACUGAUGGAAUGGUAAUGAUGCAAGACAGAAUCAUUGUUUUUGUGUUGCCUUCAUAGUCAUUGCUUUCUGUGCUAGUUUUUCUUUUUAAUUUUUGGUUUACUAAAGAAUGGUAA
Molecule: long non-coding RNA, 312 nt
Filed under: Prunus dulcis (almond)
Lineage: Eukaryota; Viridiplantae; Streptophyta; Magnoliopsida; Rosales; Rosaceae
Description: sRNA ncRNA
Source: RNAcentral